AUAAAACUUCGGGGUCGGGUGAAAGUCCCAACCGGCGGUGAAGCAGCAAUAGCUGACAAGCCCGCGACCUGUCGAAAGGCAGCUGAUCUGGUUUUAAUCCAGAGCCGACCGUACAGUCGGGUAUAAAGAAGUUUAAA
RNAcentral lists this non-coding RNA (137 nucleotides) under Fructobacillus sp. RNAcentral describes it as "FMN sequence". It matches the Rfam family "FMN riboswitch aptamer (RFN element)". From Rfam's summary of the family: The RFN element is a highly conserved domain that is found frequently in the 5'-untranslated regions of prokaryotic mRNAs that encode for flavin mononucleotide (FMN) biosynthesis and transport proteins. This element is a metabolite-dependent riboswitch that directly binds FMN in the absence of proteins. In Bacillus subtilis, the riboswitch most likely controls gene expression by causing premature transcription termination within the 5' untranslated region of the ribDEAHT operon and precluding access to the ribosome-binding site of ypaA mRNA. The record is from RNAcentral. Lineage: Bacteria; Bacillati; Bacillota; Bacilli; Lactobacillales; Lactobacillaceae.